Molecule: ribosomal RNA, 1195 nt
Filed under: Salmonella enterica subsp. enterica serovar Enteritidis
Lineage: Bacteria; Pseudomonadati; Pseudomonadota; Gammaproteobacteria; Enterobacterales; Enterobacteriaceae
Description: partial 23S ribosomal RNA
Rfam family: Bacterial large subunit ribosomal RNA
Source: RNAcentral
GGGUUGUGAGGUUAAGCGACUAAGCGUACACGGUGGAUGCCCUGGCAGUCAGAGGCGAUGAAGGGCGUGCUAAUCUGCGAUAAGCGCCGGUAAGGUGAUAUGAACCGUUAUAACCGGCGAUACCCGAAUGGGGAAACCCAGUGUGACUCGUCACACUAUCAUUAACUGAAUCCAUAGGUUAAUGAGGCGAACCGGGGGAACUGAAACAUCUAAGUACCCCGAGGAAAAGAAAUCAACCGAGAUUCCCCCAGUAGCGGCGAGCGAACGGGGAGGAGCCCAGAGCCUGAAUCAGCAUGUGUGUUAGUGGAAGCGUCUGGAAAGGCGCGCGAUACAGGGUGACAGCCCCGUACACAAAAGCGCAUGUGCUGUGAGCUCGAUGAGUAGGGCGGGACACGUGGUAUCCUGUCUGAAUAUGGGGGGACCAUCCUCCAAGGCUAAAUACUCCUGACUGACCGAUAGUGAACCAGUACCGUGAGGGAAAGGCGAAAAGAACCCCGGCGAGGGGAGUGAAAAAGAACCUGAAACCGUGUACGUACAAGCAGUGGGAGCACCCUUUGGGUGUGACUGCGUACCUUUUGUAUAAUGGGUCAGCGACUUAUAUUCUGUAGCAAGGUUAACCGAAUAGGGGAGCCGGAGGGAAACCGAGUCUUAACCGGGCGUUAAGUUGCAGGGUAUAGACCCGAAACCCGGUGAUCUAGCCAUGGGCAGGUUGAAGGUUGGGUAACACUAACUGGAGGACCGAACCGACUAAUGUUGAAAAAUUAGCGGAUGACCUGUGGCUGGGGGUGAAAGGCCAAUCAAACCGGGAGAUAGCUGGUUCUCCCCGAAAGCUAUUUAGGUAGCGCCUCGUGAAUUCAUCUCCGGGGGUAGAGCACUGUUUCGGCUAGGGGGCCAUCCCGGCUUACCAACCCGAUGCAAACUGCGAAUACCGGAGAAUGUUAUCACGGGAGACACACGGCGGGUGCUAACGUCCGUCGUGAAGAGGGAAACAACCCAGACCGCCAGCUAAGGUCCCAAAGUCAUGGUUAAGUGGGAAACGAUGUGGGAAGGCCCAGACAGCCAGGAUGUUGGCUUAGAAGCAGCCAUCAUUUAAAGAAAGCGUAAUAGCUCACUGGUCGAGUCGGCCUGCGCGGAAGAUGUAACGGGGCUAAACCAUGCACCGAAGCUGCGGCAGCGACACUGUGUGUUGUUGGGU